This 306-nucleotide ribosomal RNA is filed under the name uncultured bacterium. Its description in RNAcentral is "bacterial SSU rRNA". It matches the Rfam family "Bacterial small subunit ribosomal RNA", at positions 28 to 334 of the family's 1533-position model. The record is from RNAcentral.
GAUGAACGCUAGCUACAGGCUUAACACAUGCAAGUCGAACGGCAGCACAGGUAGCAAUACCGGGUGGCGAGUGGCGGGCGGGUGAGUAAUGCAUCGGGAUCUACCCAAACGUGGGGGAUAACGUAGGGAAACUUACGCUAAUACCGCAUACGUCCCAUGGGAGAAAGCGGGGGCUCGCAAGACCUCGCGCGGUUGGACGAACCGAUGUGCGAUUAGCUAGUUGGCGGGGUAAUGGCCCACCAAGGCGACGAUCGCUAGCUGGUCUGAGAGGAUGAUCAGCCACACUGGGACUGAGACACGGCCCAG